GAUGAAGAACGUAGCGAAUUGCGAUAAGUAAUGUGAAUUGCAGAUUUUCAGUGAAUCAUCGAAUCUUUGAACGCAUCUUGCGCUCCUUGGUAUUCCGAGGAGCAUGCCUGUUUGAGUGUCAUUAAAGUUCUCAACCACGUACUUACAUAUGUGGCUUGGAUGUGGGGGUUUGCAGGCUUUCUCUGAGGGUCUGCUCCUCUGAAAUGCAUUAGUGGUAUUCCUGAGCUUUACUACAGAUGUGAUAAUUUAUCUACAUCCCAAAAGUAUGCUUCAACAACACCGCUCCUAACAAGCGAAAGCACAUUUCGAUGAAUUUGACCUCACAUCAGGUAGGACUACCCGCUGAACUUAAGCAUAUCAAUAAGCCGGAGGA
RNAcentral lists this unclassified non-coding RNA (373 nucleotides) under soil metagenome. RNAcentral describes it as "partial contains 5.8S ribosomal RNA, internal transcribed spacer 2, and large subunit ribosomal RNA". The stretch from base 1 to 121 matches the Rfam family "5.8S ribosomal RNA", at positions 35 to 154 of the family's 154-position model. The record is from RNAcentral.